Long non-coding RNA from Uranotaenia lowii, 597 nucleotides. RefSeq lists it as uncharacterized. The transcript is spliced from 3 exons. The record is from RefSeq and is a predicted model, not a curated record. Lineage: Eukaryota; Metazoa; Arthropoda; Insecta; Diptera; Culicidae.
UAAGAUUGUAAACAAUUCGCGUACGAAAACGAACGACCGGCGAGAGGAAAGUCUGAAAGCUUAACAUCUGUCGUAUGUUUCUGAAAAAUAAGCAAGAUUAGCAGCCGAGGGUGCCUGCCACGCCUAGAACUUAUCUAGCUAAAAAGACACUAGCCAUUGGUUAAAUGAAGGGUAAUCUGAGGAAAAACUAUCGGCAGCAACCCGAUCUAAACUAUCGAAGCUUAACUGGAUGUUUGAUUGCCGUAGGAUGCAACCCGAAGCUGCUUCAGACCCACCAGAACGAGCUCCGUGCUUCCUUGCGAUCUCAAUGGAAAUCCUCGAUACAGUUUUCCGGUUACCAGACCCUGAAGUCAGCUCGUCUCCUGGUUUGGCUUCGUCAUGCGUCAUCCCAUCCCGACCAUCGAUGAUGAUAAUCGGAAGCGAAUUUAGUGCCAGUCCCAAACUGCAGUGCGUUCAGGAUCUGGUAAACUACCUCUACAUCACCACAACCACUACUGUUACGGAAAGAUUCUCACCUUCAUUAACUGUGACAAUUGUUGUACAUUUCAAAAUGAUCAACGUUUGUUAAUUGAAAAAGAGUAGUUCUACCCGGAGGCA